This 1534-nucleotide ribosomal RNA is filed under the name Limosilactobacillus reuteri subsp. suis. RNAcentral describes it as "Lactobacillus reuteri ATCC 53608 16S ribosomal RNA". The record is from RNAcentral. Lineage: Bacteria; Bacillati; Bacillota; Bacilli; Lactobacillales; Lactobacillaceae.
CAGAUGUUAUUUAUUUUGUUGCUCUUUAGUGGCUUUAUGGGAAUAACAAAUUUCAAUGCUUUCUUUAUUAAAUUUCAUUAUCUUUUCUUUAGCAAUAUGGAUUGGCUAUUUGAUCCACGUACAACGCCAAUCAUAUUACUGAUGCCCGAAAAAUUUUUUACAGUACUAUUUGGAUUAUGGUUAGGAUUUACAUUGAUAAUCUUACUUUUGAUCUGGGGAUGGAUAAAGCUGAUGUUAAGCAUCUUCUUUAACAAAGCGUGAACGUAAUGCUCCAACAACGGCUGGAAUUAACGUAACCACAAUAAUUGCAAGAAUGAUGACAGAGAAGUGUUCUUGAACGAACGGAAGAUUACCGAAGAAGUAACCACAUCCACAGCAAAGUGCUACCCAGAUAACACAGCCAAUUACACUAUAACGAAUAAAUUGCUUGUAGGGAAAACCAGAACCUGCUGCCGCAAAUGGUGCAAAUGUUCUAAUGAUCGGAAUGAAACGGGCGAGAAUAAUAGCGGGCGCACCAUGCUUUUCAAAGAAGACUUCGGCACGUUCUAGACUAUCUUUAUCAAUCAAUUUACCAAAAAGUGAAUGGUUAGAAAGACUCUUACCAAUCUUAUGACCAAUUAAAAAGUUAAGGGAGUCUCCACCCAAACAGGCGCAUAAGAAAAUAAAAAUAAAAAUCCAAAUAUUAAGAUGAUAACGUGGGUCAGCAGCUAGUGCGCUUGCAGCAAAAAGAAGGGAAUCUCCAGGUAGAAAUGGCAUUAUGACUGCACCAGUUUCAAUAAAGAUAAUAGCGAAUAAAAUUAAAUAGGUCGCAUCGCCAAAUUGAUUAACAAUCUGAAUUAAAUGAACAUCAAUAUGUAAUAUAAAAUCAAUAAGAGUUGCCAAGGUAAUUCUCCUUUGUGUAAUAAGAUAAUACUGUUAAAGUGUAGCAAGAUAGAAAAAUGUUGUGAAGAGGCGUUUAAAACUUUUAAUAAUUUUUGAAAAAAUAUAUUUAUUGUAAGUAUAAAUUAGUCGUGUGAGACUAAUUCUUCAUGGUCAAUGACGAAAGGAUCAUUGCACCCUUUUUGAAAAGGCUGAAUAACGUUUAUUAUCAUUAAGAAUGGUAAAGCAAACGAAAAAAUAAAUAAAAAUCAAAAAAAGUGUUGACGAGGGAGUGAAAUCCAUGUAUAGUAGUUAUCGUUGUCAAAGCAGUUAAGUGCUGUUGAGAUGGUUAACAAAAAAGUUAAAAAAUUGUUGACAUCUACUCGACGACAUGAUAUAUUAAUAGAGUUGCUGAUUGAGUUAUCAAUCAAAAGAAAUUCAAAAUUAAUUAAAAUUUCUUCUUGACAAGUUAAUCUAAUAUAUGUUAUAAUAAUUAUGUUGAUUGGCUGCUUAAUUAGCCAACAGGUAGACCUUUGAAAACUGAACAAAGUUUCGACGAAUCAAAUGUGUAGGGUCUUCAAUCACGAUGUGAUUUGAAGCAAAACAUUUGCGAAGUCAAUUCGCUUAAUAACAAAGAUAAUUGAGAGCUAUUCAAGUUCUUAUAUAUUUUAUAUGA